UCGACUCGGGGACGAGUAACAGGUAGAACGCGAGUUUCGGUGUUGUUACGCGCAACAAGCACUUGUUGAGAAUCCCCUCGGUUCCGAAGCGUGCGGCAGGCAAGCUAGCAAGCCUGUUGCGAACGGAUACGCGAGACACAGCCCGAGCGAGGAUGUGCGACGGAAAACUGUUGCUCACGCUCGUACGUGAGUGAUUUGUGCUGCAGCGAUGCGGCUUCUACUACCAGGCGACUACCCUGCUGGAGACGCACGGUGUUCUGUAAAAAUUUAAUAAAAUUUAAUAGAACAAUGAUUUUGUGUCUGAACCAUUAAAUCAUGAGCAUUUCUGUCUGAUUAGUUGAAAAAACGCAAAACAUUGGAAGCGAAUGCAUCUCAGUAUGGAAAACAAAGAUGAGUCCCACGGCAAAAAACUUCGAGAAAAAGAUUGCUUGAAACUAAUGUAACCGGUUGGUUCCAAAAAUAUUGCACGUGGCUCCACCACAUAGCUCAUUUGCCCCAGUGUACCGUUCUCUCCAACCUGGGCAACAGCGAGAGAGCUGAACUGAGAGCUAACUGUGUACCAAACUGAAGUUCACUCAGAGAGAAACGUCAGAAUCACAUCCAUGCACUCUUAUCUGUACUGGUAAUAAUUUGUGAACGGACUCCAAAACAUCGUCGAUGUACGUAUUCGGUUGUUCGCAGAUGAUGUUAUAAGAAAAGGGUUGCCAAGAAAAAGGGGGCAAAAGAAACGUCAGAACUCGGCCAAAGUCGGAGAUUCUAGUCUCCAAGCCAGAGUUAGGGGCUUAUAAGGCUCGACUUGGGCACGAGUCCGGUCUCUUGAUCUUCAACCACCACAAGGAAUAGAAGUGCGCGCGUGUGUUUAGUGGACUCGGAAAAGGAGUGAGAUAGCCAAAGCACAUGCGAGGGAUAGGUAUAGCAGUUAGAGGUUAGAAGUUAAAGUGAGAAAGUAAAGUUAGAAGAAAAAGUUAAAAGUCAUUUCUGAUGCAAUAGAGAGGAGAAUCACGUAGGCAUAGUGUCGAAAGACGGAGAGAUUGAAGCCAUCGGGAAAAAAGGCCCACUGUGGGCCUUUUUUCAUAGCUCUCAACAAAUACCCGGAGGGGUUGGUCUGGCCAGGACAGGUUCAACGUUUUGCACGCCUGCGUUGGCGAUCGUAAAAGGAAGAAUCACAUCGGUAGCCAGCAGAGAAAUCAAGCCGUGUCCUCAGCAUCCAUCGGCGGCAGUAACCAUCAUCAGUCGGCAACAGCGGCCCUAGUGUAUAGAGAUACCGGGGUGUUCGAGUCGGCACGGACGAGACGACCAGCAGCGGAACCGGACACCAACAUCGGCAGGAGUAAAGCGA
This is a long non-coding RNA of Wyeomyia smithii (pitcher-plant mosquito), 1339 nucleotides long. RefSeq lists it as uncharacterized. The record is from RefSeq and is a predicted model, not a curated record. Lineage: Eukaryota; Metazoa; Arthropoda; Insecta; Diptera; Culicidae. The transcript is spliced from 4 exons.